Molecule: RNase P RNA, 395 nt
Filed under: Rhizobium sp. Root1212
Lineage: Bacteria; Pseudomonadati; Pseudomonadota; Alphaproteobacteria; Hyphomicrobiales; Rhizobiaceae
Also listed under: 1 other name
Description: Bacterial RNase P class A
Rfam family: Bacterial RNase P class A
About the family: Ribonuclease P (RNase P) is a ubiquitous endoribonuclease, found in archaea, bacteria and eukarya as well as chloroplasts and mitochondria. Its best characterised activity is the generation of mature 5'-ends of tRNAs by cleaving the 5'-leader elements of precursor-tRNAs.
Source: Rfam by way of RNAcentral
CCAGUUGGCCGGGCAGCCGCUCUCCGCUAGGGCCGAAAGGUUGCGGGGGGAGGAAAGUCCGGGCUCCACGGAAAGACGGUGCCGGAUAACGUCCGGCGAGGGCGACCUCAGGGAAAGUGCCACAGAAAGCAAACCGCCGCCUUCGGGCGGUAAGGGUGAAAGGGUGGGGUAAGAGCCCACCGCGGUCAUGGUGACAUGAACGGCACGGUAAACCCCACCGGGAGCAAAACCGAAUAGGGAUAACGUGGAGCGCGCAAGCGCUCCGGCCUUUUCCGGGCUAGUUAUCCGGGUGGGUUGCAAGAGGCAUCGCGCAAGCGCUGUCCCAGAUGAAUGGCUGCCACGUUCCGGCCUCGGUCGGAGCCAUACAGAACCCGGCUUACAGGCCAACUGGCGAA